GACGAACGCUGGCGGCGUGCCUAACACAUGCAAGUCGAACGGUGAAGCUCCAGCUUGCUGCAGUGGAUCAGUGGCGAACGGGUGAGUAUCACGUAAGCAACCUGUCCCUGACUCUGGAAUAAGCUAUGGCAACGGAAUCUAAUCUUGCAUACGAGAAGGGUCCGCAUGGGCAUCUUCUGGUAAGUUUUCCGGUUGGUGAUGGGCAUGCGGGCUAUCACCUUGUUGGUGAGGUGAUGGCACACCACGGCGACGAACGGUAGCCGGCCUGCGAGGGCGACCGGCCACACUGGUACUGGGACACGGCCCGGACUAGUACGUGAGGCAACGGAGGAGAAUCUUACACAGUAGACUAGGGCCAAGUGCGACGAAGCAGUGUGGGGGAAGACAGGCUUCAGGUAGGAAACCACAGUCAGUUGGGAAGGAGCGAUAAUGACGGUACCGGAAGAAGAAGCACCGGCUAACUACGUG
This 468-nucleotide ribosomal RNA is filed under the name uncultured bacterium. RNAcentral describes it as "partial 16S ribosomal RNA". It matches the Rfam family "Bacterial small subunit ribosomal RNA", at positions 28 to 507 of the family's 1533-position model. The record is from RNAcentral.